GAUUCAAACAGCGGAUAAUACAAGCCAAAGUUUUCUUUCUGUGGAAAAGUUGAUGCGCCUUUUAAGAAGUGAACAACCAAGUUAUUUGCCUGGAAAAGUCUCCUGAAAUACUGAAGUUAUGCUAAAGAAGGAGAAGAGAAAGGAAGCUGCAGUCCCUGUAUAACUCCUAAAUUUUUAAUUUGGAGUUCCUCUUCUUCGGUGCAACAAUCUUUCUGCAUGCACAGAUCCAUGUGGCACUCAUCUCAUCAUUCUGAGGGAAGAAAGAUGCAUAGGGAAUGUUGCAUGUGGUUAUUUCUAACCCACAGAAAACAAUAAAGCACGAGAGAAAAGAGGAUGGCAGUUUACCCAGGAAACAUAGGUUGUGCAAAGCUUUGCAAUGAUACUCUCAAUUCAGAGCAAUGAAGAACAGAAUGCUGUCUUCCCAUAAUGAUGGCAUUCAAUUAUCACUAGACUUACAAGACUACAGAAAAUUUCUCAAGAACCAGUAAGGAUCAGACAGAGCCAAUGACAAUACUGAAGAAGCUUGCCAGUGGAGAAUGAAAGCUCAGUUACACAAAUUACGUUGUUGAACCAGUGCCAGAAAUAAAAUGUGAUGGACAAACUCAUUAAUUAUGAGCGUGAACCAGACAAAACUGAGAAUAAGGUGGGAAUUCCUUCAUAAUCUGUCCCUACUUAGUUGCACCAUAACCAUAAAUAUUGUAAGAGGCAAAAGAGUGGUAAAAAGCUCAUUAACACUGAGAUUAUUCUUGUUAAUUCAUCUGAAUGAGACCUUAACGUACAAAAUAACUUGAAUUACAGAAAAUGUUGAAAAGUUGUAUUUCUUGCACAUCUAAGAUUGAGAGGGAGAUAUAUGUGUGAAUUGUCACGAAAGGCCAUCUUCAAGAUAUCACAAUCAAUCUGUAGAUUAAGGUCAGCCAAUAUAAUAUUCCAACCUGAACCUUUGAAAACUGAACAGGAGUGAGUAUAAUAAUCUCUAGAAAAGCAUCAGUUAAGAUUCUAGCUUGGCCAUCUCCAUCAUCUGUGUCCUUUAUUUCUAAUAACCUUCAAGUUUUCUAUAUAUGACAUUAUCUUUCCAGUCUCCUCGGAAAAAUUGCUCUUCACUUCAAUUAGUUUGAAUCAGUUUAUUUUGCUUUCCACCAAGAGCUGAAAUUUUUCUAAACCUGCACACUCACUUAUGAAGUCCCUAGAGAUUACACGUUACUUGUGUUCCUUAGUCUUCAUUCCUUGUUCUUAUCCUGUUUACUCUUCUAUGCAUCAAUUCUGUGAGAGGCAAAACCAAUUUUUAUGUGUGUAAAAGGGAAAAAAACAUAUGUGCAUAACUAAUGACUUCUGAAAUUUAUUAUGACAAGAACCCUCCCACUCAGAAGAAUUAUGAAGGCUUGUUGUAAAAAAUAAGAAAAUAAGUCUUUGAUAAUGACAGACAACAAUUAGGUUGCUUGGACUUCAGAAUUUUAUUCUAAAUAAACCUUCUAAACUGAACUUACUACCCCAAACCUUGCCUCAAUCUGCCUGUGAUAGUAAGGUAAGAUUUAUUCAAUUCACCAAGUCAGCUAAGAUCAGGUUAACUCUUGCCUUCUCAAAGUGUCCCACUAUCAAGAUAUCCAAGGUAAUCACACCUCUCCUGCAACAAAAAUUUACAAAUACAGCAAGAAUGGUAUAAGAACAAACAUGUGUCCUUACAUUGGUCCUAUUGUGUCCAGAAUUGGUGGGUUCUUGGUCUCACUGACUUCAAGAAUGAAGCCGCGGACCCUCACGGUGAGUGUUACAGUUCUUAAAGAUGGUGUGUCUGCAAUUGUUCAUUUUUUCCAGUGGGUUCAUGGUCUGGCUGGCCUCAGUAGUGAAGCUGCAGGCCUUCAUCUUUAGUGUCACAGUUCCUAAAGGUGGCACGUCCAGAGUUGUUCGUUCCUCCCAUCCAGAGUUAUUCGCCCCUCCUGGUGGGUGGAUUCAUGAUCUCGCUGGCUUCAGGAGUGAAGCUGCAGACCUUCUCGGUGAGAGUUACAGCUCAUAAAGAUGGUGCAGACCGAAAGAAUAAGCAGCAGCAAGAUUUAUUGCAAAGAGCAAAAGAAGCAAAGCUUCCCCAUCACGGAA
This 2088-nucleotide long non-coding RNA is filed under the name Homo sapiens (human). RNAcentral's name for it is "HSALNT0349188". Lineage: Eukaryota; Metazoa; Chordata; Mammalia; Primates; Hominidae. The record is from RNAcentral.